AAGAAAUCGUCGAUUUUCUAGAAAAUUACGCGAUAUUUCUCUCCCGUUCGAGAUAUUUCGACGUUUAAACGCUCUGUUCAAUGCAUUAUGCGUGCAGAACGUAGUGCGUGUGCUGCACGUCGUAGAAACAAGCCCAGAUACAGGCAAAACGCAUUCAUUCGUCGAUUUUCUAGAAAAUUAUGCGAUAUUUCUCUCCCGUUUAAGAUAUUUCGACGUUUAAACGCUCUUUUCAAUGCAUUAUGCGUGCAGAACGUAGUGCGCGUGCUGUACGUCGUAGAAACAAGCCCAGAUGCACGCAAAUUGCAAUAAAUCGUCGAUUUUGUAGAGAACUAAGCGAUAUUUCUCU
This 346-nucleotide unclassified non-coding RNA is filed under the name Bombus terrestris (buff-tailed bumblebee). RNAcentral's name for it is "misc RNA ENSBTSG00005032543.1". The record is from RNAcentral. Lineage: Eukaryota; Metazoa; Arthropoda; Insecta; Hymenoptera; Apidae.